RNAcentral lists this ribosomal RNA (253 nucleotides) under uncultured bacterium. RNAcentral describes it as "partial 16S ribosomal RNA". It matches the Rfam family "Bacterial small subunit ribosomal RNA", at positions 524 to 776 of the family's 1533-position model. The record is from RNAcentral.
UACGUUGGGGGCAAGCGUUGUCCGGAAUCAUUGGGCGUAAAGAGCGUGUAGGUGGCUCGGUAAGUCCGCUGUGAAAGUCCAGGGCUCAACCCUGGAAAGCCGGUGGAAACUGUCGAGCUCGAGUCCGGAAGAGGCGAGUGGAAUUCCUGGUGUAGCGGUGAAAUGCGCAGAUAUCAGGAGGAACACCAAUGGCGAAGGCAGCUCGCUGGGACGGUACUGACACUGAGACGCGAAAGCGUGGGGAGCAAACAGG